AGAAUAAGUCUCUAACGUAACAAAAUGUGGCAAAAGUCAAGGGUUCUGAAUACUUUCCAAUGCACUGUAUUUAUGUUUGGAAAACACAAUUGAAGGCCAAAAUUAUGGGGAGGAAAGCACUCAUGUUUACCCAACAUAGUAAUCACCCUAGAAAGGUGGUGACCCUGGAACCCAUUGACCCGGAUCCCCCCCAAUAUGCAACACAGAGUUAAGCCCUUGGCUGGAGUUACAAAUGCUUAUGAUUCUAUUAUGAGUUCCUCAUUUAAAUGACUCUUGUAGAUUAUGUAGAACUAGAGUAAGACCACAGCUAGCUUCACUGAAAAGGAAAGCAUGAAUAGGGGAGCAGUAGUAAGUAGUCUAGGCUACUGGAUACAGUAGAGACAUUUCUUUACCCCCAGACAAAUCUGUCGACAACUUCUGUUUGGCUACCUUUGUUGCCAUGGCAUUUAAAUGAUUUAGGAGUCUUGUUUGAUUGGUUGAGUCUGUUUGUUACCUGGGGACUGUCUACAAGAGUUGGUGAGGUAAGCAGCCCUUCGCCUUUCGACACUAGUUCAGAACCACCGGUGUAGACACUGCAGAAUAUUCGAGAACUUUGGUCUCGUGACGCUGCGAGUAUCAUGGCCACGCUAAGUGCCAAGCCUGGGCUCAGGUACAGUGUGUCCGACUGGGACCCCAGUAACAAGCUGAUGUCUGACACAGCAGAACAGAGGCGACACAUCUCACAUGAGACACGCCAGGAAGGGAAGACCUUACGCAAUGAGACAACCAGCAAGCACUCACAAACUUCUACAGAUGCACAAUCGAGAGCAUCCUGUCGGGCUGU
This is a long non-coding RNA of Oncorhynchus kisutch (coho salmon), 823 nucleotides long. RefSeq lists it as uncharacterized. The transcript is spliced from 3 exons. NCBI's taxonomy places the organism in Eukaryota, Metazoa, Chordata, Actinopteri, Salmoniformes, Salmonidae. The record is from RefSeq and is a predicted model, not a curated record.